CAGCAGCCGCCGCGGGAAUACAGAGGGUGCAAGCGUUAAUCGGAAUUACUGGGCGUAAAGCGCGCGUAGGUGGUUUGUUAAGUUGGAUGUGAAAUCCCCGGGCUCAACCUGGGAACUGCAUCCAAAACUGGCAAGCUAGAGUAUGGUAGAGGGUGGUGGAAUUUCCUGUGUAGCGGUGAAAUGCGUAGAUAUAGGAAGGAACACCAGUGGCGAAGGCGACCACCUGGACUGAUACUGACACUGAGGUGCGAAAGCGUGGGGAGCAAACAGGAUUAGAUACCCCAGUAGUCCCUGUCUCUUAUAC
This 304-nucleotide ribosomal RNA is filed under the name uncultured bacterium. Its description in RNAcentral is "partial 16S ribosomal RNA". It matches the Rfam family "Bacterial small subunit ribosomal RNA", at positions 506 to 807 of the family's 1533-position model. The record is from RNAcentral.